CAGAUUCCUUCUGAAGUGGAAGAUGCCCAGCCUUGGUGUAAUUUGAGGUUCUGCCCCAUGUGAGAGAGCUGGGAUCAAACCCAGGUCCACAGCCUGGACCCGAGCCAAAGCCUGCCUGCUCACUGCCUUGCCUCCAUUCUUCUUGCUAUUCUGUCGCACUUCCUUUUUCCUGUCUAGCUCUGUUGCCCUGAACAACUUCAGCUGCUGUCUCCUAACCUGCCACGUGCUUCUGACGACAACGUGACUACAGCUUGGUCAGGAGAUCGCUGUUUUCCUGCUUCAGCUUGCAUGUUUGGGGCCUAUUGUUCUAGGUGAAAAAGUAGAGGAAAGAUAGAUGUAGAGUACAGGUUCUCAAAAGAUUCACCAGGGUCCUGUCACCGCUUGAGGUAAAAGAAUCUGGAAAGAAAAGGACAUUAUUCUGGAUUGGUUCUCAUGGUAGGAGGCACCACAGAAGAGAGACCAGCGCACAGGAAAAGAGAGAUGGGGUGUGCCUAGCUGGCCCCUUCCCGUCUUUCUGAGUCUCUGGUUGUAGUUAUAGCUCUCUACAAUGUCCAUUGUUUUGUUUUCCUUUUUCUGAAAACUCCUCUUCUUUACAGAUUUCUGGGUUUCAGUAACGCUUAUUUGCUGUUCAUUUCCCUUCGAUCUUAGGGGUGAAAGUGUUUUUUUGUUGUUGUUGUUGUUUUUUAUAGUUGCUUCAUUACUGUCUCUCCAUGGUACCUAUCUGGUGAAGGCUGUUUCCUGCUGGUGACGCUCGCUAAAUGAGCUUUGAGGACAAUGACAGGGAAGGGAUUUCGGGUUUAUGGAAAAUGGCUUAAGGUCUACUUAAUAUUUGCGCCCAGUGUUACCCAUAAACAGAUACUUUUACACCGUAGAUGGAUGGAGGAUAUGGGGAAGAGAAACCCGAAUGCUCAAGACAUAACUCCCGGAAGUGUUAAGAUAAUUCCCAUAUUACUCCCAGCAUGUCGCUUCUUAAGCUGCGUAGCCCACCAGUGACUGCCCCUGCUCCUUCCUUUCAUAGCUCCUGUUCACCAUUCUCUAACUCUCUUUCCCCAGAAUCUUCCCCGAGCUGCUCCCCUGAAAGGCAGGAAGAGGCAGCUCCAUUUUCCCUUUGUUUCUGUGACUCUAUCUAUUCCCAGCAGGCACUGAAAUGCUUCCUGAAAGGCCUCAUGUUUCAAAGUAACGUUCCUAAAGCACUGAACCCACCUGCUGGAGUUACAGUGAGCUUGGACAGUGAUAAUGAGUUUGAAACUGAUCUACCAUAGUCGCAGAAUUUAUGUAAAAAUGGGUGUUUUGUGCUUUUCCAGGUUUUCUUGCCCUUCAUUUCAGCGGGUGUGAAUCUGAGCUGAUGAGGUGUGCCACUGUAAUCACACUGGGGGCAUCAGGCAUGAGAAGGCCGCUGCCUAACCAUAUGUAGUAUGUGUGUUUCAUCUUGAUAUAAUCACAGUUAGUCUCUUUUUGUUGUUGUUGUUGGUGGUGGUGGUGUUUUUCGUUUUUCGAGACAGGGUUUCUCUGUGUGUCUCUGGCUGUCCUGGAACU
Molecule: non-coding RNA, 1536 nt
Organism: Myodes glareolus (Bank vole)
Lineage: Eukaryota; Metazoa; Chordata; Mammalia; Rodentia; Cricetidae
Source: RefSeq, a predicted model, not a curated record